AAGAGACGUUGCCCUUCGGGGUCGACCUCCCACCCUAUGUUUAUCAUACCUCUGUUGCUUUGGCAGGCCCGUCCUCGGACCGCCGGCUCCGGCCGGCCCGUGCCUGCCAGGGAACCUAAAACUCUGAAUGUUAGUGUCGUCUGAGUACUAUACAAUAGUUA
This 161-nucleotide unclassified non-coding RNA is filed under the name uncultured Leuconeurospora. RNAcentral's name for it is "sequence contains ITS1". The record is from RNAcentral. Lineage: Eukaryota; Fungi; Ascomycota; Sordariomycetes; Hypocreales.